Long non-coding RNA from Ostrea edulis (European flat oyster), 413 nucleotides. RefSeq lists it as uncharacterized. The record is from RefSeq and is a predicted model, not a curated record. The transcript is spliced from 2 exons. NCBI's taxonomy places the organism in Eukaryota, Metazoa, Mollusca, Bivalvia, Ostreida, Ostreidae.
UGGAGUCCAAUCGCAACACGUUGUCGUCUUUGUAUGCUGUUUGACCUGUCGGUAAUUUGAGCCUGCAAUAACCAGGGUGUGUAUCAGAGGAGUCUGUGUAUACGUGUGUUGGCAAUUGUUCGUCAUCUGGUUGCACGCAUCACAUCGAGGACCUUUCAAAUGGAACAGAAUGUCAUCUGUGUAUAAGAGUCGGCCGUCAGGAUGUGUGUAUUUCAUCAAAGUUUUAGGUAUCAGAUUUUUCAUUAUAAACGAUAAAUGAGCUAAUGGAAUCCCUGUGAGCGGGUCAAUAUUCAUUGUGUCCUCAACAAAACAUUGGAAAGAUUCUGAAAAUAGUAUAUAUGUCUUAAAUUUCUUUGAAAUGUAUGAUCGUAAUUGCACUGGAUAUAUACGUAAUAAAUUUUCUACCAAAUUAC